RNAcentral lists this RNase MRP RNA (358 nucleotides) under Alexandrium margalefii. Its description in RNAcentral is "partial RNase MRP". It matches the Rfam family "RNase MRP", at positions 23 to 259 of the family's 266-position model. From Rfam's summary of the family: RNase MRP is an enzymatically active ribonucleoprotein with two distinct roles in eukaryotes. In mitochondria it plays a direct role in the initiation of mitochondrial DNA replication. In the nucleus it is involved in precursor rRNA processing, where it cleaves the internal transcribed spacer 1 between 18S and 5.8S rRNAs. The record is from RNAcentral. Lineage: Eukaryota; Dinophyceae; Gonyaulacales; Pyrocystaceae.
CGGAGCUACAAACCAAGCGGAGGAAGGGAAACCUUUCGGUUGCUUGAAUUGCUCUGGGGAAAGUCCCCGGACACUGGGCAGCAAGUGCCACGUGCCGAAGGAGUGCACGUCCACGCGUGGGCAGCCCCGCUCUGCCGAGUGGAAAGGGUCGCUGCGCCAUGACGCCUGCUGAGACACCCCGUGCCCUGUGCAGGGGUUGCAGCACGGCUGAGCCGAGCGACCCGCGUGCGCCAGCGUGAUCGUCCAAACACAGUGAUACAGUCAACGGGGGCACGGCAAUAUGCGGCGGGAGAGCGGCCCUCGGGUCGUUCCCCACGAUGCGCUGUGCUCUGGUCAACACAACGGGGCUCACUCUUGC